AUACGGAGGGUGCGAGCGUUAAUCGGAAUUACUGGGCGUAAAGCGUACGUAGGCGGUUGGUUAAGUUAGAUGUGAAAGCCCCGGGCUUAACCUGGGAACUGCAUUUAAAACUGGCGAACUAGAGUUGAGUAGAGGGGAGUGGAAUUUCAGGUGUAGCGGUGAAAUGCGUAGAGAUCUGAAGGAACAUCAGUGGCGAAGGCGACUCCCUGGACUCGAACUGACGCUGAGGUACGAAAGCGUGGGUAGCAAACGGGAUUAGAAACCCCUGUAGUCC
This 274-nucleotide ribosomal RNA is filed under the name uncultured bacterium. RNAcentral's name for it is "partial 16S ribosomal RNA". It matches the Rfam family "Bacterial small subunit ribosomal RNA", at positions 523 to 796 of the family's 1533-position model. The record is from RNAcentral.